Molecule: ribosomal RNA, 1057 nt
Filed under: Gordius sp. N357
Lineage: Eukaryota; Metazoa; Nematomorpha; Gordioida; Gordea; Gordiidae
Description: eukaryotic LSU rRNA
Rfam family: Eukaryotic large subunit ribosomal RNA
Source: RNAcentral
UCCGACCUCAGAUCGAACGAGAAUACCCGCCGAAUUUAAGCAUAUUAAUAAGCGGAGGAAAAGAAACUAACGAGGAUUCCUAAAGUAACGGCGAGUGAAAUAGGAUCAGUCCAGCGCCGAAUCUCCCGUCCUUCCGACGGCGAGAACUGUGGCGUGAAGGAAAACAGUAUUCGAUCGAUUCGCCUCUUCUCAAGUUCGUUUGAUCGCGGCCAAUACCUACGGAGGGUGCGAGGCCCGUGCACGACGAGACGAGCGUUCGAUUCGUUUUCCUCAGAGUCGGGUUGCUCGGGAUUGCAGCCUAAAUCGGGUGGUAAACUCCAUCUAAGACUAAAUAUCAGCACGAAACCGAUAGCGAACAAGUACCGUGAGGGAAAGUUGAAAAGAACUUUGAAGAGAGAGUUCAAAAGUACGUGAAACCGCUUAAAGGUAAGCGGAAGAGCUCGAAAAGGAGGUGCGCGGUUCAGUCGACGUGGUACCGUACUCCGGUCCCCAGGAGAAAGACCGUUCGCGGUCCUCCCUCGGUGCCGGUUCCAACGGUGCUACCCGAUGCAUUCCGCGGACUAUCGUUAUCGCGACCGAUCGCCGGUGCUUUCCCUACGCGACGCGGGAUCCGAAAGGCUUCACAAGUCGCGGUAGGGCGAACGCUUGCCGGUGAUCGAUUGACUUGGCGGUCGCCCGUUCGGGCGUACUCGCGGUGACGCGGAUCAUUUCCCGACUCGGUUCGAUGUGACGGUUCGCCGUCGUCGAUCGUCGAGGGGGUGAUCGGUUGCCGCGGUACUAACCGUCGUUAGGUCCGCGAUUUUAAUCGUUCGACGCUUUUCCGACCCGUCUUGAAACACGGACCAAGGAGUCUAACAGGUACGCGAAUCUCCGGGAUUUUUCGAAACCCAGGGGUGUAACGAAAGUAAAGGAUUCCCCGCGAAUCCGAGGAAAGAUACCGGCUYCGGUCGGUCGCAUUUCCGUUCUGUCGUAACCGGAGCAAUCACGGUGCGAUGGAAGAAGAGCGUACACGUUGGGACCCGAAAGAUGGUGAACUAUGCCUGGGAAGGAUGAAGCC